This 253-nucleotide ribosomal RNA is filed under the name uncultured bacterium. Its description in RNAcentral is "partial 16S ribosomal RNA". It matches the Rfam family "Bacterial small subunit ribosomal RNA", at positions 524 to 776 of the family's 1533-position model. The record is from RNAcentral.
UACGUAGGCAGCGAGCGUUGUUCGGAAUUACUGGGCGUAAAGAGUGUGUAGGCGGUGCUCUAAGUUCGGUGUGAAAUCUCCCGGCUUAACUGGGAGGGUGCGCCGGAAACUGGAGUGCUCGAGCGUGGGAGAGGAAAGCGGAAUUCCCGGUGUAGCGGUGAAAUGCGUAGAUAUCAAGUGGAACACCAGUGGCGAAGGCGAGUCUCUGGACAUUUCCUGACGCUGAGGCACGAAAGCCAGGGGAGCAAACGGG